CUCCAGUCUGCUUUUUUGUUGAGUGAAGAUUCUGCUCCCUUCCAGCUUGUGCUUUGCCAAGUCCAUUAUCCACCUUGGAUGGCAGUUUGCAAACUGCAGCCACCCGUAAUCCCAAGAUGUUGCUGCUGGAUUUUUCCAGGUUCUCAUCACUGGUGAGCACUUAGAGAACAUCUGCAAACAGCAGGAGGGGCUGGCACAGUGUGUUCCACUGGCAGAUGACAUCUGUAACACUGGCACAUCCAACUGGCACAGGAGAGCUGCUCUGAGCUCCUGGGCAGCAUCCAGAGAGGGGAGUUUGGAGAGAUCACCUCUAAAAUUCAGCCAGGGUGCCACAAGGAGAAAGGAAAUCCUGAAGAGAGCUGGCCUGCAGCAAGGUACAGAACAGAACUAUUUAAAUCAAGAAAUAUCUCUCCUUUCUUGUCUUGGAGCUGGCUGUGUCAGUCUUCAGUUUUCAGUGGGGAAAAAUCCCAGCCCAUGGAAUUUGUGGCUUUCUAAACCAUUCCUUUGUGUGGUGACUUCACAUCAGAGCAGAUCCUGCUUCUCCAGAGGGGUGGGAGCAGGGAUUGCUGGUCCACAGGAAAUUUUGGUGGUGGAACAAGCACUAAAUUGUGGAUUUUAAACAAACAGGAGCAGACGUCUGCAGCAGGUAAUGCCCAGCCUGGACGUGUGUUCCUUGGCUCCAUAAAACUUGCAUAUUUUCCACCUGGAUAUUGUUUUUAUUGGAGCUCUCCCAG
RNAcentral lists this long non-coding RNA (734 nucleotides) under Parus major (Great Tit). RNAcentral describes it as "lncRNA (ENSPMJG00000005870.1)". The record is from RNAcentral. Lineage: Eukaryota; Metazoa; Chordata; Aves; Passeriformes; Paridae.